Gossypium raimondii (Peruvian cotton) is the source of this 402-nucleotide long non-coding RNA. RefSeq lists it as uncharacterized. The record is from RefSeq and is a predicted model, not a curated record. The transcript has 2 exons. Lineage: Eukaryota; Viridiplantae; Streptophyta; Magnoliopsida; Malvales; Malvaceae.
GGCUCGGCUGGUGGUCUCAGGUUUGAGGGGUAAGAGGGAUUGAGGGAGUGGCUGAAUGGAGGUUGGUUUCGGUUGUGCAGCAAUGGAAGACAACGAGUCGGUGAGGGUGGAUUCGGGUUUGAAGGCCACCGAUUGGUGGUGACGUUGGUAACAGUUGAGGGCCAUCAUAAACUUAGGCCAACCGCCGGAAGUAGCUGAGGGUAGGUGCGCAAAAUGUGCCUGGCGGCUGCUAGGGGACAACCUAACGUGAUGUGCUAGAAGGACUAGAUUGUAGAAGACGCAAAAAUCUCAGGGCCAAAAUGUAAUUUUAGAAAAAGUUGAGGGCCAAAAUGUAAAUAGUAUAUUUUUGUAUUUUUCUGAUUUUCCUUUUUUAUUAUUAUUUUUUAUUAUUCUUUUUUAAAA